GACGAACGCUGGCGGCGUGCUUAACACAUGCAAGUCGAGCGGUAAGGCCCCUUUCGGGGGGUACACGAGCGGCGAACGGGUGAGUAACACGUGGGUGACCUGCCCUCAGCUCUGGGAUAAGCCUGGGGAAACUGGGUCUAAUACUGGAUAUGACUCCACGGUGCAUGUCGUGGGGUGAAAGCCUUGUGCGGCUGAGGAUGGGCCCGCGGCCUAUCAGCUUGUUGGUGGGGUGANCGGCCUACCAAGGCGACGACGGGUAGCCGGCCUGAGAGGGCGACCGGCCACACUGGGACUGAGACACGGCCCAGACUCCUACGGGAGGCAGCAGUGGGGAAUCUUGCGGCAAUGGGCGAAAGCCUGACGCAGCGACGCCG
Molecule: ribosomal RNA, 374 nt
Filed under: uncultured bacterium
Lineage: Bacteria
Description: bacterial SSU rRNA
Rfam family: Bacterial small subunit ribosomal RNA
Source: RNAcentral